AGAGACCAAGACCCGAAGAUUUUAUCCCUCCUUCAACCGAUCCCAUUACAGGAGUUUCGUCGAAAAAUAUUGUAGUAGUCGCAGAAUCCAAAAUCACUGCUCGCCUAUUCCUACCUAAAAUCACAGAUCUUCCUACCUAAAAUCACAGAUCCGAACGAAAAACUUGCCGUCCUUGUUUAUUUCCACGGAGGAGCCUUUGUUGUAAACACACCAUUCACUACUCGGUUCCAUAACUUGGUAACCAUCAUUGUUUC
Molecule: long non-coding RNA, 254 nt
Filed under: Populus trichocarpa (black cottonwood)
Lineage: Eukaryota; Viridiplantae; Streptophyta; Magnoliopsida; Malpighiales; Salicaceae
Description: long non-coding RNA (PTRI_LNC003217)
Source: RNAcentral